GGGGCCACUAGGGACGCGGGCCUUGAGCAGAGGGCGGGGCCUGGAGGAGGAGCCGAGGGCAGCGUGGGGAGGAGAAGGUGAGGGAGGGGGUGGAGGCGAAGGAAGCAGACAGACACCCCAAGAACAGGCGUGGAAACAAGGUAAGGGUGCGAAAAGGCCGGUGCAAAGGGUAGAGAGAGAGGGAAAGUGGAGGAUAGACAAGCCAACCGGGCAGCUCAGCUUGCGGAGGUCAGAAAAGGGGAAAGAAGGGUCCUGAGACCUUGUGUUCCAUGUGGCAGAAAACUGGAGGCGGAGUUGCAGGAGGAGCGGAGUUUUCCCGUCCCGGGAUCUUUGGCUGCACAGAGAAAACCUUGGCAGGUGGAGAUGGGAGAAAAUGUAGGAGCGUCACAGGUCCUGGCUCUUGUGCUGCCCGGGAUUCCUGGAUCACUGACUGAAACGAUGGGAAGGAGGUUUUCAAUGACUCUCUGAGGUUAAUCAGCACAAGCACUGUGACUUCUGAGUCAACCCCCACUCCAGGGCCAACCAAAGACUCAAGGCUUAAUGACUCACUUCUCUGGUCCCCAAGGACUCACAAGCCAAUGUCUUCCAAAUCCAGUUGGCAAAUGGAUGCUUUGGUGGCUAAAGAAGUUUCCCAACCCUCCCUGGCCACAAGCUGAAGCCCUCCCAGCCGCAGAGCCUCCCUCCCUUAAAGCCCUUCUUUCCAUCCAGCCUCCUGAUGUCGGACUGGCUAUGUGCACUAGAUUCAGAGUUGGAUGAGCCCAGCCUUGCUUUAUAAGGGGAAGCAUUUUCCUGGCCUGAUUGGUGACCUUGAGCCACCAGGACUGCGCUCCCCCUCCACCUUGUUCUGUGCUCUAUCCUCUGUCAGUGAGAGUUUGGAAGGAAUAAUCAAUCUCUCUGAACUCAAACUUCAUCCAGCCCUCUCUGACUCGGUCUUACAGCCUUCCCCUUUGAUACACAGCAUCUGUGAAUGUCUGCACACUAAUGGGACCAAUGCCUACCUAAGUCGGAAAGUGAGUGGUUACCUACAGAAUCUAGCAGAGAACAAGACAAGCAGUAGCAAGAAAUGGACCCUUCCAUCCACUGCGCCAGCCUACUAGAGCACUGAUGUGCACCAGAUGUGGGAUCAGGUACAAGAAUCUCAAGUUGGUUUUUACCCAAAUGCUACCAUUUGACCCGACUUUGCUCUUCAAAAGAAUUUUUUAAACUCCUCCUGAGUUUCACUUCUGCAUCAACACAGACGUUGGAAGCAGGUGGCUCACCUGCAUGUGCUUGAUGAUGUGAGACUCCUGCACGGAAUAUCUCCACCCACAGGUUCCCUGACUGUCUUCAACAAAUGCCCACGGGCCAGAGGGAUUCUGAGCAGUAGGGUCACAGAAGCCCUUACAGUGUCUGGGCUGUGGGUAGAAGCUCUCUGUCCCUCAACCCAUCUCACCCACAGGAAGUAAAUGCUUUGUCAGCCCCACAGGCAGACAGAUCAACAGCUGAACAUAGAAGUGUUUCCAGGAACUCUUUCAUCAGCAGAGGGCGCUCUAGUUAGCAAAUAACUUUUCCUGUGACAACUUUCCUGCAUGCAAGGUAAGGAGAGAACAAGAAACCAGGGUGCUAGGGAGUGUCUGGAAAGAAGGUUCAUGGGUUUGUGAGCAUCGAUAGUUAUGGGAAGCUAAAGGGAAGAGAAUGGAGGGAAGAUGUCCCAGGUAAGGACAGGGAAAAACUGUCCUUUGUUGAGAAUGUCUGCUUUGUCCAAAACCAACACUUGACGCUGUGAAGUCUCACAGCCUCAACUACAAUCUGGUGAUGCUCUGAUGGGUAAGAAGGGGGAACAAAUGGCUCCUGCUCCAAGUAUCGAACUAGACUCAUGGAGAUGUUUUCCUUUAAAACAAACGCAAUGGUGCCCAGUUUGGCUCCUGGGACUCCAGGUGUGCCGGUGAGGGCAACUAGCCAGUGUCUUUCCCUGAUAUCAGAGGCCAGUAUCUUGGCUAUCCAACAUGCACUGAAGAUCAGCAUCUAUCUCUUCAGUAACCCUCUAGGCCUUCAGUGCCAACUUGGGACUGCUGAGGCAUCCAGUCUUGUGUCCAGAGCAACUAUAAGGGUGUCUGGUUCUUAGAUAUCAUUAGACUAUCCUGAUCGUGUGAUACAGCCCCAGUCUAAUACAUCCCCUUGUGACAUUGGUUCCCCCUACCUGUUUUGUUCCUCUGCAACACCUGUCUAAUACAACCACCAAGGCCAACAAUGAUGAUGAGAGGUGAGAUGAGAUCAUAGUUAUUUAGCAUUUACUAGUGGCUAAUCUUCAUAUUACACACUUCAACACAUCACAUUCUGUGAACCCUGAAUGAGAACUUCCUUCAUUCUUCAUGGAAACUCAUGGAAUAAGGCACACAGAGGACCUCUAUUGCUGUGAACCUUGUACACAGUGGGACAGGUGCAUAAGGACAAGUAGGUAAAUUUGCAAACAAGCUGCUCUGGAGACCAUUGAGGACAAUAAGGGAAAGGAAAAUCAAGUGAGGUAGAGUGAGUGGGGUAAGCCAAGUCCCCACCAGCCACAGGGAAGACCUCGAGAGACAAUGACCUUGGAAUAGUCUACGCCUUUUCUCUGAGAUGCAAUUCUUCCAGAAAUUUGGUUGCUUUUAUGCCUCCGAAUCCACCAUAGACUGAAUAAAUGACUGCAGGUCUAUUUUUUUUUAUGUAUAAAAAACACUCUUGGGAUUUACAAGUGAAGGCUAUUGCUAUGUUUGUUGGAUUUCUGUGGUUGGCAUUUUCUCAAGUGGUGGUUAAUAAAAAUCUAACUACUUGUGGAGACAUAAUGAGAGCUAUAGAAUGGUUUGGGUAAAUUUUAUAAAAUAAGGGAAAAGAUAAAAUAUACCAUAUUAGGCUUGGUAAGGUAGCUCAGACUACUAAGUAUUUUCUAGGCAACUGUUAGGACCUGAGAUUGAUCCCCAGCACCCAGAUAAAAAUGGGGACAUGGUGAUGUAUGUCUAGAAUCAUAGCUAGCACCAGCAAGGGAGAGACAAGUAGAUCUCAAGGACUUGUUGGCCAACCACUUUAACUUAAUUGGUGAGUUCUAGGACAGUGAGAGGCCCCGUCUCAAAAAAAAAAAUGUAGACAGUAACUAAGGGAAACAGCAAAUGUUGUCUUCUGACCUGACUAUGUGCGCGUGCGCACACACACACACACUCACAUGUUGCAGAAUAUUUGAUCACACCAUGAACCCCAAGAUUGUGUACACUUUUCGUCUCUCUGGCUGGAAUAAAUACACACCCUUAAUACACACCUUUAAUCCCAAACAAGAAAGGUAGAAAGUUUGUAUAAGGACACACCCAUGUUUAAAAGUGAUGUCUGAGUGGCAGACAAGGUGAUGAAUCAGAGAAAGAUUUGACAGACUAGAAUACACCCAAUUCUUACAAGAAGAAGGGAGAGAGAAGCUACUUGAGGGGCAGUGCAAAGAGGAAGGAGGCAGUUUUACUGGGAGAGCUUUACAGAGACAGGUUGAAGAGACAACAAGCUAGACAUGGGUGAAGACAUAAUGAGCCAGAAAAUGAGAAGGGGCAAGAAAAUUAGAAGAGAUUGCUAGAGUUACUUAGAGGUCAUGCAGAGCAACUCAGGAAAUCUAAGAGAAGCCAGAUUGAAUCAGUCAGCUUGGAGAGGAGUUGGAGCCAGAAUAGCUGAAUAGACCAGCUAGCCAAAGAUCAGAAAGAACUAGGAAGGGGUGAGCUUAUUCAACACAAGUCUCAGAGGCUAAAAACAUUCUAGAGCUAGAUUAGACUGUGUGGAAGGUAGAAACUUCCAGGACUGGGCCUAGGUUAGCAGACAGAGGCAGUAAGCCUCAGAGAUAACAAUUACAUGAGCAAAUAACAGUUACUUUUUCACACACACAUGCACACAUGAACAUACACAUUACAUACACAUAUGCACACAUAUAUGUACACACAUGCAUACUCAAUAUAUACACAUGUGCACACACAAACACAAGUGCAUAUACAUUCACACAUACAUGUACACACAUGCACAUGCAUACACACAUAUGCACAGACACUGUACUAUCUUACCAACAAAGGACAGGAAGCAUCUGGAACAUUAGGUUUUAGUCCUGCUUCUUCCAGACACCCAUUUAUCUGAUUCACUGCACCUGCUUCAGCCACUCCAAAGUCCCUUUUGCCACAGAUGCUGUUGCCCAGUCCUGGAUCAUUCUCGGGUCAAGCUCAGCCCUGUAAACCCAAAGUUGAUUCCCCACCUGAUUUAAAGCCUCUGCUCAUCACCCCAAAAUCAACUCAUUCUGCGCCCACUGCUGUUGCCCUGUGAAACCCUGGAAUCUCUUAUACCCAAUGACUCCAUUCCAAAAAGCUUCAGGAAAAUGGGAAAUUUCUGGAAAGCUCCUUAGUGUGUCAGCAUCCACUCACUGCCUAUCAAUUUUCAUUCCUCCCUUGUGUUUGCUAAUGUACUUUGAUUUUUUUUUCAUUUUUUGGAUUGACAGUGUGCCCAAGACAAAAGCAAUGGUUAUCAGUGUUCUGGUUAGAAGUGAUGUGGGAAAGGAUGGCAGGAACCAGUGAUAAAACUUUCAAGAAAUACUUCCAGGUGAAGGCUUUAAAUACACUAGGAUCAAUAAAACCUCGCCCCUUCUCAUUUUCUUUCCCCCUAACUGGAAUAUAGAGUGUGUAGUAGGGAUUUCAGCAGCCACUCUGUAACCAAGAGGGCACAGUUGGUGAGCCAGACAGAUAGAAGCAGCUUGGAACUCUGUAACUUUUAGACUCCACUGUUCCUUUCCCGUCCCCUCUUCCUCAUGAUGCUCUUCAUGCGAGCGUCCUCAUCACCUUUGGAACACACCAGAAAGAUGUCCACCCCAUGCCAUUGCCAUGUUUGUUCAUCUGUCUUUGCUCAGAUGUCUGUGUCCCUCAAGGCUCUGCUCCUGAUCAUGCUGGUGGACUCAGUAGCUGGGCCAGCACUGCCAAUCACCUUGACUUUAUUCCCACCUUUCCCAUAGCAUGCUCCCUAAACUGCUCACUCUGUGCAGCCAGGCUUCCUCUGUCUUGGGGAUUGUUGUACUUCCCGUCAACCACUUGGCACACUGUAAGCCUUCUAUCACAGCCCAGAGACAGCUAAGGGUGAAUGUUGUCCUGGCUUGGGUCAUCAGUCAGAGUUAAAAGAAAUGAACGCACAAGAAAGAGAGCCCGUGUUCACCAUGGAAUGAGGUGGUAACAGACAGAAGGGUUGCACCUGCCAUGGGUGCCAGGCGUGGACUGUGGUUGAGGACGAGACUCAAGAUGCAAAGCAUCCAGCUGCAAAUGCCACAUUCUGCCAGUGACAUGUACUAGGUGCUUCUUGUGACCAAUUGCAAGAAGCAGUUUAAGGGACAAAGGGCUUAUUCUGGGAUCAAUCCACCAGGGCUAGUGUGAUCCUUUGUAUGCUCGUCCCAGGGAGUGGCUCUAUUAGAAGGUGUGGCCUUGUUGGAGGAACUGUGUCACUAUGGGGAUGGGCUUAGAGAUCUUCCUCCUAGAUACCUGAGCAUGCCUAGUCUGUUCCUGGCUUCCUUUGGAUAAAGACACAGAACCCUCAGCUCCUCCUGCACCAUGCCUGCCUGGAUGCUGCCAUGCUUCUGCCUUGAUGACAAUGGACUGAACCUCUGAACCUGUAAGCCAGCCCCAAUUAAAUGUAGUCUUUUAUAAAACUUGCAUUGGUCACGGUGUCUGUUCACGGCAGUA
This is a long non-coding RNA of Apodemus sylvaticus (European woodmouse), 5693 nucleotides long. RefSeq lists it as uncharacterized. NCBI's taxonomy places the organism in Eukaryota, Metazoa, Chordata, Mammalia, Rodentia, Muridae. The transcript is spliced from 3 exons. The record is from RefSeq and is a predicted model, not a curated record.